Long non-coding RNA from Myotis lucifugus (little brown bat), 527 nucleotides. RefSeq lists it as uncharacterized. The transcript has 2 exons. The record is from RefSeq and is a predicted model, not a curated record. Lineage: Eukaryota; Metazoa; Chordata; Mammalia; Chiroptera; Vespertilionidae.
GGACGACAGGAUAUGGAGAAGCAGAGGGCUACCGCUCGCUCAGGCGAAUAGCCAAGAUCCUCUGAUCCCUCAUGGCUUUUAUUGGGGGUUCAUGACAGAAAAAAUAGCACUGCGUUGAUUGUUCACUGCUGCGGCUUUAUGCGAUCUUCUGCAGACUAAAUAUAGAACAAAGCAAAGUAUCAAUACUAGCAAUAACAACCCUGAGGAGGUUUCCAUUAAUGCUUGAAUAUGUGGAAUAGGAUUCAUGUUCUGUAUCUCAUUUAUAAGACCUUGUAAAAUUUGCUGUCCGGUUACCUCCUCUAAUCUCUUUUGAAAUGUUGUGUGAAUAUGAUCUUAAAGAUCAAUAAUUUCUUGUGUUAAAUUGGCAUGAUUCAAUAAGUGUUUCUUAACCUUAUCCCAAGGAAAAGCUGUCUCAUUGUAAGGCACAAGGGUGAUACACAGACCAGUAUGGUUCCAAUCACAUUUUAACUGUAAUCGCCUUUGCAGGCUUACAAUUUGGUCCCCUAAUAAAGCUACUGUUUGUUCAA